UGCACACCACACAACGACACAAACAGUGGACUAACCUAGCCCACCCCUGCUUUAUUCUACAUCACUGCUUCCCUGAUGUCAGCGUGAGAGGCAGAACAAAGGCUAAAAGGCACACGGUCUAGCUCAGCUUUGUGUACUACAAUUCUGACAGAGAAAACAACCUCAAACUUCUGAUCCCAGCACUUUGAAACGUCAGUUGCUUCUUGGAGUGUGGACAAGGGUGACGCAUAGUUUACAUUCCAUUAGGGAGAAUGAAUUUCAGGAUUAUCUAUUAAAUCAGGCAAGGCAUCUUGGGCUGAGUGACGAAUUUGGUCCUUUGGAAUCUGCACAUAUUUUCACCUGGAAACACGCAAAGGUGGGAUAACUUAUUUAUAAAAAUUAAUUUGAGCCAAAAUAUAUCUAUUAGUAGUAUAAUACUAUGUGGUUUCACGU
RNAcentral lists this long non-coding RNA (432 nucleotides) under Bubo bubo (Eurasian eagle-owl). Its description in RNAcentral is "lncRNA (ENSBOBG00000014311.1)". The record is from RNAcentral. Lineage: Eukaryota; Metazoa; Chordata; Aves; Strigiformes; Strigidae.